UACGGAAGGCAGCAGUGGGGAAUAUUGCACAAUGGGCGCAAGCCUGAUGCAGCCAUGCCGCGUGUAUGAAAAAGGCCUUCGGGUUGUAAAGUACUUUCAGUCGUGAGGAAGGUGUUAAGGUUAAUAACCUUAGCAAUUGACGUUAGCGACAGAAGAAGCACCGGCUAACUCCGUGCCAGCAGCCGCGGUAAUACGGAGGGUGCGAGCGUUAAUCGGAAUUACUGGGCGUAAAGGGCACGCAGGCGGUUAAUUAAGUUGGAUGUGAAAUCCCCGGGCUUAACCUGGGAAUGGCAUUCAAGCUGGUUAGCUAGAGUCUUGUAGAGGGGGUAGAAUUCCAUGUGUAGCGGUGAAAUGCGUAGAGAUGUGGAGGAAUACCGGUGGCGAAGGCGGCCCCUGGACAAAGGACUGACGCUCAUGUGCGAAAGCGUGGGGAGCAAACAGGGAUUAGAUACC
RNAcentral lists this ribosomal RNA (453 nucleotides) under uncultured bacterium. RNAcentral's name for it is "bacterial SSU rRNA". It matches the Rfam family "Bacterial small subunit ribosomal RNA", at positions 340 to 786 of the family's 1533-position model. The record is from RNAcentral.